This 440-nucleotide ribosomal RNA is filed under the name uncultured Brevundimonas sp. RNAcentral describes it as "bacterial SSU rRNA". It matches the Rfam family "Bacterial small subunit ribosomal RNA", at positions 338 to 795 of the family's 1533-position model. Lineage: Bacteria; Pseudomonadati; Pseudomonadota; Alphaproteobacteria; Caulobacterales; Caulobacteraceae. The record is from RNAcentral.
CCUACGGGGGGCAGCAGUGGGGAAUAUUGCACAAUGGGCGAAAGCCUGACGCAGCCAUGCCGCGUGAAUGAUGAAGGUCUUAGGAUUGUAAAAUUCUUUCACCGGGGACGAUAAUGACGGUACCCGGAGAAGAAGCCCCGGCUAACUUCGUGCCAGCAGCCGCGGUAAUACGAAGGGGGCUAGCGUUGCUCGGAAUUACUGGGCGUAAAGGGCGCGUAGGCGGACAUUUAAGUCAGGGGUGAAAUCCCAGAGCUCAACUCUGGAAGUGCCUUUGAUACUGGGUGGCGUGAGUGUGAGAGAGGUAGGGGGAACGCCGAGUGUAGAGGGGAAAUUCGUAGAGAUUCGGAAGAACACCAGUGGCGAAGGCGACAUACUGGCUCAUUACUGACGCGGAGGCGCGAAAGCGUGGGGAGCAAACAGGAUUAGAUACCCUGGUAGGC